CCAUUUCUGCCCUCUAGUUACUCACCUGCUGCCUCUCCAUGCUUGCUCCUUCAAGCCCACCAUUCCCAUUGGGAACUGGAUUUCACACUCACCACCACAUGCCACACCAGGAGGUAGUGAUAGGUCUGGUGAUAUGGAUGGAACCAGAAACCCUCAUGAAGGGGCAGCAACCUGCUGUGGGACCUGCUUCGGGCCAGCCCAAGUCUGCACUCAGAGGGCCAUAUUCCUAAAAUGGAUUGUUCUUAUACAGACGGUGCCAACAUGCCACAGAAAAAUACACAGAAGAGUCUGUGUGACUGAUGUGGAUGGUACAUCAGUCUAUGUGUCUCUAUGAUGUGACAUGGAAACAAUGGUCCUGCAAUGAUAAUCAUGCUAUGCUGGCUUAUGUGUCCAACACCGAGUCUUGAUAGUGUUCCAGCACUAGGAGAACACAUCUGUCACAUCUCUUCUGUCCUCUGAGCACCACUAAGCUUUCAGGACAGACAUUUUAGGUGCUCAAUCUGACAAGAAAAGAGAACAUUAUUCGACUCUGGGGUGAGAAGAGUACCCCAGAACCCCAUGCUUCCCAACCCACCGAAAAAAAACUCUGGGAAAGUACAUUCCACGGGAUCCAUUGCUGGCCUCAGCCAAUGGAUCUCCUCACAAUAAACUGAGGAGGACCUCUCAGGCGACUAUGGACAGUCUGGGGGGAAGAUCUGGCCUCUCACAUUGUGAUAUCCCUAAGACAACUGUAUUCUUCACCUGGCCCCAUCCCCAGGAUAUAAUGCCACUGACCUGAAGACGUUAAGCCCCAGCUCCAUGGCUUCUGAGCCACGGGUUGGGGACCGGUCUGGCUCAGAAUCGGACAGCCCCACGGGGAGCCAGGCCAGAUGUCCAGGAGGCAGUGUGGACACAGGGCACUCCUGCAGAGGAAGAGCUAUUCUCCCCUCGCAGAGCUCUCCAGUUACUCACCUGCUGCCUCUCCAUGCUUGCUCCUUCAAGCCCACCAUUCCCAUUGGGAACUGGAUUUCACACUCACCACCACGUGCCAAACCCUGAGGAAGUGAUAGGUGUUGUGAUAUGGAUCGAACCAGAUGCCUUAUGAAGGGGCAGCAUACUGCACUUUGAUCCACUUGGCCCUGUGAAGUAUGAAAAGCUCAAGGCCAGUAUAGGCAGUAGUUGGUUUCUGCUUUGGGCCCUGCCUUGUGCCAACCCAAGUCUAAACUCAGAAGACCAUAUUCAUAAAGUUACUUGUUCUUAUACUGAUGGUGCCAACAUGCCAUAGCACGAGACUCGGAAAAGACUGUGUGACUGAUGUGGACGGUACAUUAAUAUAUGUAUCUCCUUAAUAUGACAUGAAAACAAUGGUCCUGGGAUCAUAAUCAUGCUAUGCUGGCUUGUGUGUCCAACAGGUGUCUUGAUAGUGUUCCAGCACUAGGAGAACACAUCUGUCACAUCUCUUCUGUCCUCUGAGCACCACUAAGCUCCCAGGACAGAUAUUUUGAGGUGCCCAAUCUGGGAAAGUACAUUCCACGGGAUCCUUUGCUGGCCUCAGCCAUUGGGUCUACUCAGAAAAAACUGAGGAGGACUUUUCAGACAACUCUGGCCAGUCUGGGAGGGAGAUCUGGCCUCUCACAUUGUGAUUCCCCUAAGACAACUGUAUUGUUCACCUGCCCCCAUCCACAGGUUUUAAAAGCCACUGGUGAGUAUCUCUUUCUGUCUCUGUGCUUGUGUCUGUGUCUGUGUCUCUCUUUCUCUCUCUCUGCCUCUCUUCUACAUGAACAACAUCCAGGCAGAUCACAUGUUCUGUCUUAAACAGGACCCCCAGCAAAUCACCAAACACUGAAGAUUGCUAUAAAUAGGAAACCCAAAAGGCAAACAUAAAAUAAAAAUUGCAAUUGAUUGAAAUAUAUACAUGAUAUUAAACCCGACCAGCCAAAAAAUAACAGCAUGAAACCUUGAAUAACCCACCCUAGUAAUAAUAGUCUCACAGAAGCAUGCUAAGGAAACACAUUCCACCUACAACCAAAGAAGGACAUUGGCUUUCAUUCCCUGACAGGUGUAUUAAGCUGUUAUAAGCACUAGUCCAUUUUAUUUUCUGACAUUUGGUUCUGUCUACUUUGGUACAAACUGUUUUCAUCUGCUGGUUUGUUUCUUUGUCUGUCUGUCUGUUUGUCAGUUUGUUUGUUUGUUUGUUUGUUUGUUUGUUUUUGGAGACAGGGUUUUUCAGUGUAGUUUUGGUGCAGGUCCUUGAUCUCAUUCUGUAAACCAGACUGGCCUUGAACUCCCAGAGAUCUGCCUGGCUCUACCUUCUGAGUUUGGGGAUUAAAGGCUUGGACCACCACCGCCCAGCUCUAUUGGUUGAUGAGUUUAUAUAGGGUAUUGCCCUGCAACUCAGGCUGGACAGAAUUCGGUAGAGAGUCCAGACUGACUUUAAAUUCUUGGGGAUCCUGCUGCCUCAGUGUCUCUUAGGUGCACUGGAACACUGUUAGCAUUUGUGGUUUAGUCAAAGUCUCAUAUAACACAAGCAGGCCACUCUGUAGCCAUAGAUGACCUUGAGUAGGAUCUUCAUCUCCUUGUCUCUAACUCCCCAAGGCAGAAAUUCCAGUUUUGAGCCACUCUGCCCUGUUAAGUAUGAAAAUCUCAAGGCCUUAAUAAGCAGGAGUGAUUUGCAGGCUGAGUGGAAUCCCGUCUCAAGGAGAAUAUAGAAGUUCUGAACAUUUUGAACUAUCAGAUCUGGACAAUGCCUGGGUAGAUGGGGGAAUGGCUAAAGCGCCACAGAGAAAGGAAGGACUGUGUGAAAACUGGAUGUGGCCGUGUCCUUAUGUCAUCUGAGACCUGGAGCUGAAGAGAGUCAAGUGUGGGAGCUUGCUGGCCUGAGGUCAGUGAGACACACUGUCUCGAAAAUGAAGGUGAAUGCCCGGUGGUGGUGGAGCAACCCUUUAAUCCCAGGACUGGAAGGCAGAAGCUGUCAGAUCUCUGUGAGUUCAAGGACAACUGGUCUAGAGAGCCAGCUCCAGGACAGCCAGGGAAACUCAGGGAACACCAGUCUCAUAAAACAAACAAAAACAACUAAGGUGCAAAAGCAUUUGAUGAAUAUUCCUGAUCUACAUGUUUGCUUAAAGGGUUAGAUAGGCACGGACAGAUAGGCACCGUUGCACCCCUACGUGCACACAAACACACACACACACACACACACACACACACACACACACACACACACACCACACACACACCUGCAGUCACACAUAGGUCAGGAACAAACACACACUCUUUGUGCAGAGUUCUCCACCCUGUCCUUACCCAUACCCCUCACUACUGUCUAUUCCUUGUACUCAUGGCCUUUUCUUUUCUUUGCCAAAGCACAUGUCUCUUAAACACCACGGUGGCAUAACUACCAGUCCCCUCUAAUGAGGCUUCCUCUCAUUUUUUUUCUCUUCUCUUAUUUUGACUCCUGUUUUCUGUCUGUAGUCCAGGCUGCCAAGGACAGGCGACCCUCCUGCCCUCAGACAAUUGAUCAGAGGGGAUACAGAUGACAUAGUCGUUUUACUGAGAGUCUUUUGGAGUGCCACAAUCAUGAACUGUAUCUGGAUGCCGCUCUUCUUCUGAAGCUGGUGAGCAGUGAUCUGGUCAUGAAAAAGGGAAGAAGGCUGUCCCAGUCCCAUGCCCUCUCAAGGACACUCAGGUCAGUGUGCAGCAGUCCCUGGACUGUCACCUGUGUAGCCAGGCUGCUUUGAAGGACUGUUCUGACUAGCGGCCCUCAAGUUGGACUCAUCUAACUCUCUAUGCAGCUCUGUGGGACAGGAUGGAAGGCACCAGCCUCAACCAGCCCAUGUCCAGACCUGUAGCUGAUGACACUAUGAGAUGGAGCCUCACCCCCACUGCUUGAAGGAACACAAUACCCUUCAUAGCUCUGCUGACCAGGAGAUGGCCUUGAAGAAAUUGCAUAGACACACACUGCUGUUCCAGGCUGUGUUGUUUAUAAGGCUAGACAACUGGGCAGCGAGUCAAGAGUGUGAAAUGGACACUCUGGGCCAGAUUCAGAAGCACAAGAGAACCAGGACAGUGAAUGUCUGUUUUUACAUUACCUGCUUUCCUUGUGAGAUAGGAAUUUGUUCCCCAGGGUGCAAGAAAAAGAGUGAGCAGGCUUGCUGAAGCUUGUCACCCCAGCACUCGGAGAUGGACACAGGUGCAUCUUCUUUUUUGUUUGGUUUUAUCUGUUGUGAUUUAUGUUUGCGUUUUUUUUUUUUUUUCCCCAAAGACAGGGUUUCUUUGUUUGGCGCUGGCUCUGGAGACCAGGCUGGCCUUGAACUCCCAGAUAUCUGCCUUCCUCUGCCUCCCGAGUGCUGGAAUCAAAGGCAUGCUCCACCACCACCUCCACUGAUGAAGGUGCAUUAAUCUUGCUGGCCCUGAGAAAGCCUGUGUCCAAAACACAAUGUGUCCAGCAUCUGUGAAUUCAUAUUUGAAGGGAAUACAUGUGCUGCAUAUAUACAAGUUUGAGCAAAAAUGUGUAUGUAUUCAAGGACACACAUACACAAGCACACUAGUGUAAACAUAUAAUGUGUGAGUGAUCUGCACACACACUCAAGUAAAAAUAAUGAUAAAGGAUCAUAAAGUUUUUUGAAAAACUAGGUAGCUUUUUAGAAAACUUGACCUCCUGUGCAGGAACAUCAUUUUGAGCAAGACCUAGGAGAAUGAGACAGGGUGAUGCUGCUGAGAACACUGGGGUGGUUGACUCUGAAUGCUCUAUGGUUGACAGAGCACAGCAAGCCAAGAUUUGGAGUCUUGUUAUUGCUAAGUAGAAUCCAGUUGGUGGGCUGACAAGGUGUUCCCAGAUUUGUUAGCACAGAGGGUCACCUGGAGGUCUCACCUCUCUGCAUCACAAGACAGGUGCCUCUCAGAAGCCAAGAAGGAUAUCCCUGCACUCAGGAGCAAAGCCCACCUUCAAUUCUACCGGCAUUAACCCUCCCCCCGAAAAAAAACAUUGCAAUAUGUUUUCUAUGUUGGAAAUAAAAUGGCAUUGUUAAAUGA
Peromyscus maniculatus bairdii (prairie deer mouse) is the source of this 5010-nucleotide non-coding RNA. NCBI's taxonomy places the organism in Eukaryota, Metazoa, Chordata, Mammalia, Rodentia, Cricetidae. The record is from RefSeq and is a predicted model, not a curated record.